AUGGCGAACUCCGGCGAAAAGAAGAAAGGGCCGAGGGCUCUAGUGGGCGAGGAGGCUUGGGGAGAGGCUGGUGAGAGUAAAAAGGCCGGCCCAAUAGGCCCCAGGGGGUACGCGGAGGCCGCACUAUCCUCCUCUUGUACGCCGCCCCAAAUCAUCCCGCCUCCUCCCUUCAAACUUCAAAACCCGAAAGGUGGUCGCCGCCUCCGCCGCAGCCGCCUCACCCGGAUCCCGCCGGCGCUGGGGAGAGCUUUCCUCUUCGGCACAGAUCUGAACGCGGACCGCUAG
This 285-nucleotide ribosomal RNA is filed under the name Triticum aestivum (bread wheat). RNAcentral's name for it is "partial small subunit ribosomal RNA". Lineage: Eukaryota; Viridiplantae; Streptophyta; Magnoliopsida; Poales; Poaceae. The record is from RNAcentral.